This 3781-nucleotide long non-coding RNA is filed under the name Ananas comosus (pineapple). RNAcentral describes it as "long non-coding RNA (ACOM_LNC021300)". The record is from RNAcentral. Lineage: Eukaryota; Viridiplantae; Streptophyta; Magnoliopsida; Poales; Bromeliaceae.
UUUAUUUGGAAUGAUGCGUGUCAAAGAAGCUUCCAAGAGUUGAAGCAAAGAUUGACGACCGUCCCGAUCCUAACCUUGCCAGUUGCGGAAGCAGGGUAUGUGGUUUAUAGUGAUGCAUCUUUUAAUGGAUUGGACUGUGUUUUGAUGCAGGACGGGAAAGUGAUUGCGUAUGCUUCUUGCCAAUUAAAGGAUUAUGAGAGGAACUAUCUUACGCAUGAUUUGGAGUUGGCGGCCGUAGUCUUUGCCUUGAAGCUAUGGCGCCAUUCUCUUUAUGCCGAGCGGUAUAAAGUAUAUACAGAUCACAAGAGCUUGAAGUACUUAUUUACUCAGAAAGAGUUGAACUUGAGGCAGCGCAGAUGGUUGGAGCUACUCAAGAAUUAUGAUUUGACGAUUCUUUACCACCCGGGCAAGGCUAACGUGGUAGCGGAUGCGCUAAGUCGGAAAUCGACGGAAAACUUAGCGAUACUUGUUGUUACUCAACCGCCGUUGAUCGAGCAGAUGAAGCGGUUGGAGUUGGAGGUGGUGGUUCCUGAUACACCAUUGAGGAUGAUGACAUUAGUGGUGCAACCUAUACUGUUGGAAAGGAUUAAAGAAAAGCAAACUCACGAUGUGGAGUUGCAAAGGAUUAGAGCUAAAAUGGUUGAUGGUUACACUGGUGAUUUCACCGUAGAUGAUCUUGGAUUGAUGCAUUUCCGCGGUCGGAUUUGUGUACCGGCGGAAACGACUCUUAAAGAGGAUAUUCUUCAAGAAGCACACCGUGCACCCUAUGCUAUACAUCCGGGAGGCACCAAGAUGUAUAAGGACUUGAAGUUGCUUUAUUGGUGGCCCGGAAUGAAAAAGGAUGUUGGCGAGUUUGUAGCUCGAUGUCUAACUUGCCAACAGGUGAAAGCUGAGCACCGAGUUCCCGCGAGGAAAUUGCAGAGCUUACCGAUUCCAGUGGGAAAAUGGAAGAAGAUCACCAUGGAUUUCGUGAUGGAAUUGCCUCGCUCACAGGCCGCGCAUGAUGCUAUUUGGGUGAUCGUGGAUAGGUUGGCGAAAUCAGCUCAUUUCAUACCUAUUCAUACUACUUGGACUGGUGAGAGGCUCGCACUGGUAUAUCUUGAUGAGAUUGUGCGAUUGCACGGGGAACCUACUUCUAUAGUUUCUGAUCAAGAUCCCCUUUUUGUAUCUCACUUUUGGAGGAGUCUGCAGGAUGCCUUGGGCACACGCUUGGAUUUCAGCAAGCUUUCCACCCCCAGAGUGAUGGGCAGUCAGAGCGCACGAUACAGACUCUUGAAGACAUGCUUCGAGCAUGUGUGAUUGACUUUCAGGGAGGAUGGUCGCAGCAUCUAUCGAUGGCAGAGUUUGCUUAUAACAACAGUUAUCAAGCAAGCAUCAAGAUGGCGCCCUUCAAAGCACUUUAUGGACGGAAGUGUAGAUCGCCACUUCAUUGGAGUAAAGUUGGCGAGAGAUUGGCUUUAAGCCCCGAUGGGCUCCAGGAAGUAGAGGACAAGGUUCGCAUUGCUUAGGAGCGAUUGUUGACGGCCCAGAUUAGGCAAAAGAGUUAUGCUGAUAAGCGUCGACAAGACUUGGAGUUUGAGAUUGGAGAUCAUGUCUUCUUGAAAGUCUUGCCGACCAAGGGAUUAGAAGAUUUGGGAUCCGGGGUAAGUUGAGCCCCCGAUUUAUUGGACCGUAUGAGGUUUUGGAGUGUGUAGGCCCGGUAGCGUAUCAACUUGCUCUACCGCCAAACCUAUCAGGCGUACAUAAUGUCUUUCAUGUAUCGGUCCUUCGAAUGUGCAUCCACGAUCUGGCUCACAUUUUGGAUUCUACACCAUUGGAGCUGAGGGAUGAUUUGAGCUUCGAGGAGCAACCUGUGAGGAUCUUGGCUCGCGAGGUGAAGAAGCUACGGAACCGUGAUAUCCCAUAUGUGAAGGUACUUUCGAGCAACCACAACGAGCGGGAGGCCACGUGGGAGCUGGAGAGUGCGCUGCAGGAGCGCUAUCCCCAUCUUUUUCAGAUGGAGUUUUGAAGUACUUUGUUUUUGAGUUUUGUGGACGAAACUCCUUUUUAGGAGGGUGAAUGUAACACACUGGACCUUUGCAAAUUGCGAGGUUCGAGUGUUUGAUGUGUGUUUCAAGUUUUUCCAGAUAUUCUGGAGGGUCGUUGACAGUGUGCCGACCUAUGGCUCGCAUCCCAAGAAUCGAGGUUUAAAGCUUAGCACCAAGGUCUCUAAAGUGAGAAUUAUUGGCAGCUCUCGAGUUGGAUUCUGCAGGGUUGUGUACCGGUACAACAUUGAUGUUGUACCGGAACAAGAUGUUGUACCGGUACAACAUUGGAUCUGUACCGGUACAGAAGGCUGAUCUCUGCCAACCCGAGGCUCGGGUUGCUACCUGGCUGGUUUUGUACCGGUACACUUUCCCGUUUACCGGUACACAGUGCAGUUUCUGUGAGAUAUGGAUCCCGAGGAUCUAAAAGGUGAAAAACACCUAGAGGGGGGUGAAUAGGUGUAAACGGUAAAAAAAAAAAACUCGAUGCGAAUAUAAAGUAAAUGCGGAAAAUAAAAUCAGCACACCGAGAAAUAACGUGGAAAAACUCCAAAUCGGAGAGAAAAACCCACGGGACCGAUCACACAAAGAAAUCCACUAAGAAAACAUGAGUAUAAGUGAUUUAGCAAAAAUACAAGACUCUAAAUACCGAAUCCUCGUUGUAGAUUAUCUUUGCCAGUCCACGACCGCUUGGAAUCCUCCAACCGAUCACACUGCAAGUCCUUGCAGCCGCACACGCCUCGAUUCCAUGAAAAGCCCACCGAAUCCAUGGUCUCCACGCGAGAUCCACGCGCUAACGCUCCAUCCGAAGCUCGUAGAAAUUCAACAAUUUGUGGUGAUUUAAAAUCUUUGAAAGCACAUAUAAUAUGAGGAGAAACCCAAAUUAAAGCAUCACCAAUUUGAUCCUUAACGAAAAUUUGAAUCAAAAUCAAAGAAUCAAAUUGGCGAUCUAAUGNAGAUCAGACCCGAGGCUGUUUCGAAGACGGUUUUUAGAACACGGUAUGGACAUUAUGAGUUUACCGUUAUGCCGUUUGGGCUUACUAAUGCCCCGACAGCUUUUAUGAAUCUAAUGAACCGUAUUUUUAAGCCUUAUCUAGACAUGUUCAUCGUAAUGUUCAUCGACGACAUCUUAGUUUAUUCCCGAAGUGAUGCGGAUCACAAGGAACACUUGAGACUUGUACUUCAAGUGCUUCGGGAAAAGAAGCUCUUUGCCAAGUUGAAGAAAUGUGAGUUUUGGCUUAGAAAGUGGCGUUUUUGGGUCAUUUAGUUUCGGGAUCAGGUAUAGCCGUGGAUCCUAGGAAGAUUGAGGCAAUCGAGGAUUGGCCGAGGCCGACGAAUGUUACGGAGAUUCGAAGCUUUCUUGGCUUGGCCGGCUACUACCGGAGAUUCGUCGAGGGAUUUGCAAAGUUGUCUACUCCCCUCACGAGACUCACGCAUAAAGGCACCAAGUUUAUUUGGAAUGAUGCAUGUGAAAGAAGCUUCCAAGAGUUGAAGCAAAGAUUGACGACCGCCCCGAUCCUAACCUUGCCAGUUGCGGAAGCAGGGUAUGUGGUUUAUAGUGAUGGAUCUUUUAAUGGAUUGGACUGUGUUUUGAUGUAGGACGGGAAAGUGAUUGCGUAUGCUUCUUGCCAAUUAAAGGAUUAUGAGAGGAACUAUCCUACGCAUGAUUUGGAGUUGGUAGCCGUAGUCUUUGCCUUGAAGCUAUGGCGUCAUUAUCUUUAUGGCGAGCGGUGUGAAGUAUAUACAGAUCACAAGAG